UCAGUUCGGAUUGUAGUCUGCAACUCGACUACAUGAAGCUGGAAUCGCUAGUAAUCGCGAAUCAGCAUGUCGCGGUGAAUACGUUCCCGGGUCUUGUACACACCGCCCGUCACACCAUGAGAGUCGGAAAUGCCCGAAGCCAGUGACCCAACCAUAAGGAGGGAGCUGUCGAAGGUGGAGCCGGUGACUGGGGUCGAAGUCGUAACAAGGUAGC
This 214-nucleotide ribosomal RNA is filed under the name uncultured bacterium. Its description in RNAcentral is "partial 16S ribosomal RNA". It matches the Rfam family "Bacterial small subunit ribosomal RNA", at positions 1288 to 1500 of the family's 1533-position model. The record is from RNAcentral.